GCAAAUCCGGAACAAAGCAUCCUUUCCGAUGAUGAGUCCAGCUUUGAUGAAGCAGCUGACAGCAGCACACAACAAACAACAGUCCAAGAAACUUUCAACAGACGAGGACAUCAAGGAAGAGACCACGAGGGAACUCUGGUUAUGCAGACUUGGGCCACCGAACAGCAAUCCUUCUACCAGAAGAUGCAAGAGUCCCAGAACAAAUGGAUAGAAGAACAACAGGAACGAUGGCAGCAAAGAGAAGAAAGGUUGUUUGUAAGGUUCUUAGAAGAAAACACACUCUCAACUGAGCGCCUAGUGAGGCAAUGUUUUGAUGGAUUAAAGUCCAUCAUGACUCAAAUGACCCCACCUCCACAGGGAAGAUCUCCAGUUCCUCCCUACCCUCAGCAUCAAUACCCAGGUCAAAGCCGGUCUGCUCAAUUUCCUCAGAACCCAAGCUACAACUCGGAUUACCACCUCCAUGACCUAAACUAAAGUUAAAAAAAAGUUUGUUAUUUGAGCAG
Long non-coding RNA from Nematolebias whitei (Rio pearlfish), 503 nucleotides. RefSeq lists it as uncharacterized. The record is from RefSeq and is a predicted model, not a curated record. Lineage: Eukaryota; Metazoa; Chordata; Actinopteri; Cyprinodontiformes; Rivulidae. The transcript is spliced from 3 exons.